GCUCAGUCCUUUGGAUGUUAAUCCAAGUGGACCAGUGCACCUAAAUAAUAAAUAUCCUCCUCAAUCCCUUGGUCUCUCUGAUUCCUUAUAUAUCCCGAUACAUUUCUGGGGGCUCAUCAGGAUUGGAGAUGACAGAUUUACUGUCCCCUUUGCCUGCGAUACUAGGUCCCCGGGGCCAGGAGAGACCCGGCAUCCAAGGUGUGCCACAGCUGAGCUUCACCCGGAUAUAUAGACCAGCUCUCCCCACGUCCCAGCACCCUGCCUGGCAGCGCAAUGGAACCGAGGAUGGGGCUGCAGGACGAUACCAGCACUUCAGGAACUGUGAAUCUUGCUCCGCUGCCAAGGCUGGAGUGCACUGGUUCAAUCUCGGCUCACUGCAAACUCUGCCUCCCAAGUUCAAGUGAUUCUCCUGUGUCAGUUUCUUUAGGAAUACAGCACUCCAUAUUGUUACCAUAAUAAUGAAACGGAUUCCCAUGGCUACAGCGAUGAAGCAGCAGAAAAAAAAUGGAGAUGCUGUCAAAGAAAAAAGACACAGAUCAGAGAAAGAAGCAUAAAAGGUUUGGGUAUCUUUGUAUUUAAUAUAAAUAUUAGAGUUUUUUAAAUGAGAAGGUGGUAUUGAUCCUUUUUCUGCCUUAAUAAUUUUUUCCAGAACAGAACAUAAAUACCUCGCAAAUGAUCAAAAACUAGAGUACAACA
RNAcentral lists this long non-coding RNA (696 nucleotides) under Homo sapiens (human). RNAcentral describes it as "HSALNT0366725". The record is from RNAcentral. Lineage: Eukaryota; Metazoa; Chordata; Mammalia; Primates; Hominidae.